GAGAAGCCACCUUCGGGUGGUGGACAGUGGCAGACGGGUGAGUGACGCGUGGGAACGUGCCUUUCGGUUCGGGACAACCCAGGGAAACUUGGGCUAAUACCGGAUACGCCCUUCGGGGGAAAGAUUCAUUGCCGAAAGAUCGGCCCGCGUCGGAUUAGCUGGUUGGUGGGGUAAUGGCCUACCAAGGCGACGAUCCGUAGCUGGUCUGAGAGGAUGACCAGCCACACUGGGACUGAGACACGGACCACACUCCUACGGGAGGCAGCAGUGGGGAAUAUUGGACAAUGGGCGAAAGCCUGAUCCAGCCAUGCCGCGUGGGUGAAGAAGGCCUUACGGUUGUAAACCCCUUUCAGCGGGGAAGAUAAUGACGGUACCCGCACAAGAAGUCCCGGCUAACUCCGUGCCAGCAGCCGCGGUAAUACAGAGGGGACUAGCGUUGUUCGGAAUUACUGGGCGUAAAGCGCCCGUAGGCGGAUUCGUAAGUCAGGGGUGAAAUCCCGAGGCUCAACCUCGGAACUGACUUUGAUACUGCAGAUCUCGAGUCCGGAAGACGUGAGUGGAAUUCCUAGUGUAUAGGUGAAAUUCGUAGAUGUUACGAAGAACACCAUUGGCGUAAGCUGCUCAUUGUUCCGGUACUGACACUGAGGUGCGAAACCGUGGGGAGACAACAGGUAUAGAUACUCUGGUAGUACACGCCGUGAACUGUGGGUGCUAGCCGUCCGGGACCAUGCUCAUCGGUGGCGCAGCAGACGCGUUAAGCACCCUGCUAGCGGAGUACGGUCGCACGAUAACACUCAGAUGGAUCUGACCGG
Molecule: ribosomal RNA, 812 nt
Filed under: uncultured Alphaproteobacteria bacterium
Lineage: Bacteria; Pseudomonadati; Pseudomonadota; Alphaproteobacteria
Description: bacterial SSU rRNA
Rfam family: Bacterial small subunit ribosomal RNA
Source: RNAcentral